AACCUGCGUGAUAUCGUUCUUCUCCGUAGUGGAAAUCGUGGUUGGCUUAUUGCCCGGUUUGAUGGUAAAAUCGGAGUAAUCGUAGAAGUAAUCGUAAUCCUGCGAAGACAACACGACGGAUAAAUAUUACCGGCGGAUACCGGUUCGCUCCACUCUUGCGUCAAACUCAUCGUGAAUACGUAAGAUCAACGCAAUUAAAAAUUGAAGAAAAAAUUUCGACUAUGCCUUCAAGUAGUACAGCAGAAGGUAUACCACAGUAAAUCAUCAAUUGAUAUUCUUUUGCAAAUCUGUCCUGCGAUACGGAAAGCAAUAUAAAAGAAUUUACAAGAAAGACAAGAACAGAAAAGAUUACGUUUUAUGGAGACAUUUCGGUAAAACAAGAAGAAAAAGAAAGAAA
This is a long non-coding RNA of Monomorium pharaonis (pharaoh ant), 397 nucleotides long. RefSeq lists it as uncharacterized. The record is from RefSeq and is a predicted model, not a curated record. The transcript has 2 exons. NCBI's taxonomy places the organism in Eukaryota, Metazoa, Arthropoda, Insecta, Hymenoptera, Formicidae.